This 380-nucleotide ribosomal RNA is filed under the name uncultured archaeon. RNAcentral's name for it is "bacterial SSU rRNA". It matches the Rfam family "Archaeal small subunit ribosomal RNA", at positions 471 to 851 of the family's 1478-position model. The record is from RNAcentral.
UAAAACCAGCACCUCAAGUGGUCAGGAUGAUUAUUGGGCCUAAAGCAUCCGUAGCCGGCGCUGUAAGUUUUCGGUUAAAUCUGUACGCUCAACGUACAGGCUGCCGGGAAUACUGCAGCGCUAGGGAGUGGGAGAGGUAGACGGUACUCGGUAGGAAGGGGUAAAAUCCUUUGAUCUAUUGAUGACCACCUGUGGCGAAGGCGGUCUACCAGAACACGUCCGACGGUGAGGGAUGAAAGCUGGGGGAGCAAACCGGAUUAGAUACCCGGGUAGUCCCAGCUGUAAACUAUGCAAACUCAGUGAUGCAUUGACUUGUGGUCAAUGCAGUGCUGCAGGGAAGCCGUUAAGUUUGCCGCCUGGGAAGUACGUACGCAAGUAUG